GGGGGUGCGCCACAGUUGGAGAGGUGGGCUGGACUGUAAAUCCAGUGUUUCGACUGAGUAGGUUCGAAUCCUACCACCCCCA
Molecule: transfer RNA, 82 nt
Filed under: Neolewinella aquimaris
Lineage: Bacteria; Pseudomonadati; Bacteroidota; Saprospiria; Saprospirales; Lewinellaceae
Description: Lewinella aquimaris tRNA-Tyr
Rfam family: tRNA
About the family: Transfer RNA (tRNA) molecules are approximately 80 nucleotides in length. Their secondary structure includes four short double-helical elements and three loops (D, anti-codon, and T loops). Further hydrogen bonds mediate the characteristic L-shaped molecular structure. tRNAs have two regions of fundamental functional importance: the anti-codon, which is responsible for specific mRNA codon recognition, and the 3' end, to which the tRNAs corresponding amino acid is attached (by aminoacyl-tRNA synthetases). tRNAs cope with the degeneracy of the genetic code in two manners: having more than one tRNA (with a specific anti-codon) for a particular amino acid; and 'wobble' base-pairing, i.e. permitting non-standard base-pairing at the 3rd anti-codon position.
Source: RNAcentral